RNAcentral lists this transfer RNA (76 nucleotides) under Pseudomonadota bacterium. RNAcentral's name for it is "Proteobacteria bacterium tRNA-Asn". It matches the Rfam family "tRNA". Rfam says of the family: Transfer RNA (tRNA) molecules are approximately 80 nucleotides in length. Lineage: Bacteria; Pseudomonadati; Pseudomonadota. The record is from RNAcentral.
UCCUGGUUAGCUCAGUUGGUAGAGCAGGUGACUGUUAAUCACUUUGCCGGCCGUUCGAGUCCGCCACCGGGAGCCA